GUGACAGCGGCUGAGGACUUGGCUAUAGCCAUGGGCGUGGUGACGGAGCGGGCGAGGCAGGUGUGUCAUGGCCUGUGCACAGAUCUCGGGCUAAAUCAGGGGCUGCAGGGUGAGGAAUGGGCUGUGAUUGUUCUCAGAACACAGGAACUAGGGCGUGUGGGGACAGACGGGGCCAGAUCUAUCACUUAUGGCUGGGGACAUCAUGUGCCUAGUUCUAGCUGGUCAUGCAAGAGGGGAGCUGCACCCAGCUGGAGUGUAAGGAGCACGUCUCCUUUGGGCUUCGUGGGCCGGGAGCUGGGAGGCCACAGCUGUCCGCUCAGUCUUGAGGGAGACAAAGAGAGGCCCCAGUUUCACUCCAGCUCAGCCACCCGUGGAAUUGUAUUGAUAAAGCAAGGCGCUUCGAGAUCUGUGAAUACUGGACAGGGUCGUGUGAGUGACAGAGACACCAGGAGCGCUUGGUGAGAGACCCUGGAAACUUCUACCUACUUACCUCUUCAGUCUCACUGACUAAAAACAAGGACCAGGAAGUGGUGUUAUGGUUUAUAUGGGGGGGGGGAGUGCGCAUGCGUGUGUCCAUCCAAAGCCUCGUGUGCUCAAAAGUGGGGCACUCUGUGACUGCAUUUUGGGUAUGAGAACACAGCUGACUGCGUGAGGAGGCGGGGUCUGGUCAGAAGAGGUGGCCGCUGGGGGCGUUCCCCGGAAGGGCACAGCCCCUCCCAGACUGCUCCCUCUCUGGGCUCUGCUGUCCCCCUCUGCCACAGGGUGAGCACCUUUUCCUCUGCUCCGCCAGCCAGAGAGCCGUGGAGCUGGUGCACUGCAGACUAAAACUUUUACCAACUGUGAGCGAAAAUCAACUUGUCCUCCUCUGAGAGCUGUGGGUGUCAGGUUUUGUGUCCCAGCAAUGAGGGACGUAACUGAGACACACACAAAUAUUAGCUUCUUCCUGGAAAAUAAAUGCUUAGUAAGGGUGCCAUGCCUUUGGGCUGUGGGCUCCAGGGAGCCUGUAGAACUCCAGGAUGGUGAACAAAUGUCAUCUGGAAGCUGACAUCGAGGGAUCUAGCAUUCACAACACCGGCAGCUGACAGUUCUUUUGUUUCUUGCAGAGUGAAAUCCUCUAUACUGAUACAGAGCUUGUAAAAGACAGUGAGUAUAAAUAUACUGCCACCAGUGUUAAGAUUCAUUUACUAGAAGGGAUGAGGGAUCAGACCCUGAUAAAAGGUCAUUAUAAAUACUCCACCCAAAUGAAAUUCUUGUGGCCUGAUGACUUUUGAAAAUAAACUGCCAGAUGAGAUAUAAUUCUAUCUCCUUGCUAUAGUGGAUUAGCUGAUGUGGGUGAAGCUCUUGAGGAGCUUCUGCAGACAGCGAGACAGCGUCAUCAGGGUUACUGUCCUGCUGCGUAUUCUCUCUGGAGCUGCUGAACCAACUUGUUUAAGGCCUGGCUGGCCGAGUUCUGCAUCUCUGCUUCCAGAACCCAGGAGCAGCGCUCUGGAUCAGACUGGUUCCUCAGCUGCUUCCUAGAGAAUAUUGGCAGGGUUUUGGUGCCGAAGGAAGAGACAGAGACUGGGAAGGAGUUGAAAAUCAGAAGAAAAAAAAAUGGGCCCAGAAAGAAGGUAAGGAGGCAAAGGUAAUAACCCAUCUCAGUUCUUUGUGUCUGCUAAGAACUUGUCAAGAUAUUGUAUUGUUUAGAGGAGCAAAAAAGAAAGUGUAACUUAUUACAGAAAGCAGAUCUUGAAGUUCUCACUAUAAACAGUUCUUAAGAAGCCAAUCUUAGGUGAGACCAGGAGGAAAAGGUAUCCUUAAGAGAAAAAGGAUAUUACUACAUGGAAUAGGUCAUUAUUAUAAAAAUGCCGAAGUCUUCCUCCACCCAGACCCUUCCAACCCUGCAGUUUCUGCAUUUGAGCCAGGCGUGUGCUGAAACCAUGAGCCAAGAUAACCCUUUCUCCUUUAAAAUGCAAGUGUCAGAUAUUUUGCCCCAGCAGUGAUAGUGACUAAGACAGGUAUAAACUCCGUGGAGACAUCAAUCACAUCUUACUUACAUUUUAAUAUCUGGUACCCAAGUAAAAAUCCUUGUGGAUUAUAUUAGUAAAGGAACAAAGGAAAUUGCUAAGACCAGUAUUCUGUUCACCUCUAAAUAUCAAACAUCACUCGAGAUCUUCCAAGCCACAUAGACAGGAUAGAAAAUUCUGAAGGUCUGUGUCAUACUUCACCUAACAAAACAAGAAUUCUUGGAGGGCAGGGGACACCCAUGUAAGAGGUUUCACCUGCUGUUAAUACAGGGCCCCAGGGCUUCCAACCUGACGUCUUUUCCUUUGGGUGAAAACAGACACCUGCUUCCCUGACACCGUAGGAGACUGUUGCAAAAGCCCAUUUUUUGUCGUGGUUCUUCCUCCAGGUAACUGGCCUAGAAUUUCAUAGCAACUCAGCCUCAAGUUCUUCUCAAAUAGACCAAAGUACCAGGAAACACAAACGUGGGCCAUAUUCCUGGGUGAUAAAUACCUGGUUAUGAGGACUUGGGUUUUCAUGGGGGCAUUCGCUUUCAGAGUGGUUUGGUCCCUAAAGAACUCAACUCAGGCUUUGUUAUUAUUGAGAUCGAGGGAGGGCAGCACCCCACCUUCUCUUGAAGAUUUAAGUGGAUUUAAGAAGUUGUUUCUGUUCUUGGUAAAGCCCAAAUCACCUGUAAGAGGAGGGCAUCAUGGGCUCUUGGAGCUAAAUAAUUUCCCUAAACUUGGACUCAAAUUGUUCUGUGAGAAGUGUGUUCACUUUUGAGGGUCAGCAGAAGGCAUAAAGCUGGAAGCCAUAAUGGGGACUCUAUUAGAGAGAGACAACCGUGAACCUGUGGAAUUGUCACGAAUGGAAAGUUCUGGAAAAUUAGGUAGGCUGGCAAGGGAAGAUGAAAUGAUCAGAGGGAGAAAGAUCCCUGUGGGUGGAUGGAGGUAAGACCUAAGAAGUUAAAGAGAGAUACCUUCAAAAUUCAUAAUCAAAAUACAUCUUGGCAGCCCAGUGUGGGGGUGCACACUGCAAUCCCAGCAUUCCACCGGCCGAGGCAGAAGGAUCACCACAAAGCUCCAGACCAGCCUGGGCUGCUGAGUGAGUUCAAUUUAUUUAUAUAUUCAAUAGAUAAAUAAAUAAUAAACAAACAACAAGAAUUCAUGGUGGUGGCCCUGAGCAUGAAGAAUUACCCAUAGACUUGUCCCUAAAAUUGUAUAAUUUGAGGCCUAAUUGAUUUUGAAUUCUCUCUCUCUCUCUCUCUCUCUCUCUCUCUCUCUCUCUCUCUGGCUGUCUCUCUCUCUCUAGUUUAUAAUCUAACUGUGAAAUAUUUUAAAGCUAGCUGAACUUGAAGCCCAGCUGAGUGUGAGGAGAACGACUGUGCCCAGAUCGCAGUGAGAAGUGGUCUGAAGCCGUUCAGUAAUUCCCAUCUAUAGCAAUAUGUGAGAGGGGCGGAAGACAGUCAAAGCUCCACACACCUGGACGCCCCAGUGCAGAGAGCUGGGGAACCCACAGUUAGUGAAAGGGGACACAGGGGAUGCUGACUCCCUCCUCGGGCACAGCCUAACUGCGCGCCCGUGUGUGCCCAGCGAGGAGAGGCCCUAGCCUUCGCAGAGUCCUGCUGCUCGGGUGCUCAUAAUCUGGCUGACUGCAAAAAGGGAGCCCCAGACUGGUUUUCUCCAGGAUGUAGACCUGACGCAUGCGCUUUGCUGACAGGUGCACUACCAGGACCCACAACGAGCGAGCUUGUUCCCUGGCUGGCCGCAGGAAGCCCGUCUUGGGUCAGCUCCCAGCUCGCUUCUGUGCACCCUCACCGCGCUUCGUCUCACAGGGGCUCAGGCUCCUCGUGUGUCCCUUCCACAAGCUCUGGUUCCCUAGAGCAGCCCCUUCCCAGGCUCUGGGACCCAGCUUCUGUGCUAGCGCUGCCUUGCUCUGGCCCCUGGGCCGCGACACUCCUAGUGGCACUGCGUGUGUGCAGGUAUCCAACAAGUAGUGCGUCCCCACUGGCCCUUCUGUCAACACAUCACAAGCUUUUUUUAAAGGGGGAAAAACAAUAAAAGCAAUGAUAUAGAAUUUCAAAACAAGCUAAUGGAGGAUUAACAAUGGUUAAUGCAUUGCAUAUUGUUAUCUUCAAAGUAGCUGCGAGGCUGGGGAUAACUCAGGGGCAUAAGCUCUUGCCUGGCAAGUGCAAGGUCGUGAAUUCAAUCCCUGGUACUGCAAAAAGACCAAAAAAAAAAGUGGCUCAGAUUACAAGAUAUAGGCAUGAAAAACCGAUCAAACAAUGUAAGUACAAACCUUUCCUUUCAGUGAACUAAUAGAAGUUAGUGGUGUGAUUCUCUUAGCCAAUAUAUUUUUUUUCCUUCUUUUCUCCUUUCCCCCAUCCCAGUUUUUCUUUCCUUUUGAGAAGUUUCUUCUCCUUUCACCAAUAUCUGUUGUACAUUUUGGUUCUUAUUUAUUUUUUCAGUUUUUACACCAGGAAGACAAAUACAGUGUUUACACAUACAAGUCUGAUUUAUUUCAUUUAUGAGUAUGAUCCAUUUACCUAUAAAAGCCUUGAGUUUAUCCUUCUUUAUAGCGGAGUAGUACUCCAUUGCAUAAAAAUACGUCUUUUUUUUUUCCAUUCCUUAGUCGACAGGCAUUUUGGUUGUUUCCAUUCCAAGAUUUAGCUAUUAUAAAUUGCACUGCUAUAAACAUGAGUGCACAUAUCACACUGUGGUACAAUGUUUUUAAUUUUUCCAGCAAAAUACCCAGAAGGAGAAUAGCUGGGUCAAAUGGGUCUCUAAUCCCACACUGGUUUCCACAGUGGUUGUACCAGUUCACAUUCCCACCAACAGUGGAGACAUGUUCCUUUUUCCCCACAGCCCGCCAGCUACUGGUUGGUUUUUUUCUUUCUUUUUUUUUAAAAAUUGGUUGAUUUCUUGGUGAUAGCCAUUCUUUCAGGUUUGAAAUGGAAUCUCAGUGUUGUUUUAUUUUGUAUCUCUCAAAUGACUAGCGAUGUUGAACAUUUUUUCAUAUAUUUAUUUUCCAUUUGCAUUUUUCAUUUGAGAAGUGUGUGUUCAUCUCAGGUGCCCAUUUUUGGACUGAGCCUUCGAAUUUGGAGGAUGCUGAUUCUUUUUCAAUUUUUCGUCAUGUUCUAGAUAGAAGUCUUUUGUCUGAGAAAAAGUUGGUUAAAAUUUUUUUACAACUCUGUGGUUUUCUUUUCACUCUGUUCAUUUCUUUUGAUGUGAAAAACUUGUCAAUAAGAUGAGAUUCCAGUUGUUGAUUCUUUGAAGUACUUCAUGUGCACUUUGGGUUUUGUUCAUGAAUCUCUGCCUACCUCUAUGUCUUCAAGUUUUCUACCCACUUUGUUUUCCAGUAGAUUUAGUGUCUCUGUUUAGUAUUUAGAUCUUUGAUCCAUUUUGACUUUAGUUUAGUGCAUGGUGAUACAUAUGGGUCUAGUUUUAGUCUUUGGCAUGUGGAAAGCUAAUUUUUCCAGUACCAUUUAUUAAAGAAGCUAUCUUUCUUCCAGUGAACACAUCUGGCCUCUUUGUCAAAGAUAAGGUGACUGAGUGUGUUUGUAGUUGCAUCUGCAUCUUCUAAUCUGUUCCACUGAUCAUCAGGUCUGUUUUGUUUUGUUUGCCAUGCUGAUUUUAUUAUAGUAGCUUUGUAGUAUAAUUACCAGUCAGGAAUGGUGAUACCUCCUGCUUUGCCUUUGUUAGCCUGGAUUACCUUUGCUAUUCUAGGUCUCCUCCUCCAAAUGAAUUUUAGGUGUGUUUUCUCUAAAUCUGUGAGGUAUGUUAAUGGUAUUUGGUCAGGAUUGCAUCACAAGUUUUGAGAGCAGGGUCUGAGUCCUAUUCACUGCUCUCCUCCUAGGGCCGGAAAAGGUACUAAUAUAAAUGUAGUCUUUAGCCAGGUGUGGUGGACCACACCUGUAAUCCCAGAACUCUGGGAAACUGAGGCAGGAGGAUUACAAGGUUGAUUCUAACCUGGACAAAUUAUCAACCUAGUGAGUCUUUAUAUCAAUAUUUUUUUAAAAAUCCUGGGGAUGUAGCAAAGGUCCUGAACUCCUCCCUAGUACAAAAAUAAAUAGAUAUUUUAAAAUACAUGUAUUUUUAAGCUUCUAGUUUGAAAGAAUGAUUGCAAAAAUUCUCUCUCAGCAUCCUCCUAUGUUAGCAUCUUAUACCACCUGAUACUAUGUUGGAGUAAAUGUAUGAUCACUGAAACAGUGUGAUUUGCUAGCUUGCAGACCUUUGUUCAGUCUCACCAGUUCUCCUCCAAUGUCACCCUACUCUUAUAUAUGCUUAUACAACACAUGUACAAAUGCAUAGUAUGGACAAGAUAGGAAAUGAGACAAGGAACGAUGCAGCAGGGUGGGUUUAGACCACCAGCCUCAGUGCCCUUUCAGGAAGCAUUCGCAGGCUGCGCCCUCUGCUCCGGGGGCUGAGGAUCAAGCUCUCUGCACUCAUCUGACCUCCCUGGCGCUGGGCCUUCAGACCUAUGCACAUCCUUGAAGUCGGACACAAUUGUGUUGCAUCAGAAGCACAUUUAACUUGCCCAAGUUCUACCCUACGCCCUUAGCAGAAAGGAAAAUCAGCAUCUAAGUCAUGUUGGUAGGAGCUGGCCUGGCUCUGUUCAUGCACCAACCAGUCUCCAAUGUGUUUCUCUCAUACCUUCAAUUUUAUGAGCAGCCAAGAGGUUGUAAGGGGCAGGUGACUCCACACACUUUCACAUAUGGCAGAGGACGGCCUCCGUGGAAGGUGGGAUUCCACUGGUUCACACACUUGAGCCCCUGCAGACAGAUGAGCAAACAGGUUCUGAUCCGCUGGAAAGUCCGGAGGCCUGGAAGUCACCCAGAUUUAACAAGGCAGUCAUCAAACCCUGAGGCACAGGUGUCUUAGUCAACUUGGGCUGCAACAUAAAAUAGCAUAGGAGGUUGGCUUUAAAACAGUGAUUUAUUUUCCACUGUUUGAGAUUGGAAUCGUGAAGUUACCAGACAGUGUGGUUCUGAGGAAGGUUCCCUUCUUUGUAGGUGAGAUAUCACUCAGUGUGUCCUUGCAUGGUGAGGACAGAGGGAUGGGGAGAGAAAGAGGCACAGAGACAGACAGCUACCAAGUACUCUCGUCUGACAAGGACAGCUAUUCUAUCAGGUCACCUUUAUGAGCUCAUUUUUACCUUAAUCAUCUUCAGAAAAUCCCCAUCUCCAAACACAGUCAUAGUUUGGAGGUUCUACCUUGACUUUACAGCAAUGAUCACCCUCAACUGUUCUCAGUCCAUCCAGGGGCCAGGCUGUGGAGCUCAGAUGUCUCUGGUCUGCAUUGCUGCCAAGGUCCAAAAGCUGUCAACUUCCCACAGGUUUGAAGAAUGGUGCCAGGCCAAGAAUUUAUGCUCUUUGACUUUGUGUCAUCUUGUUUUGAAAUCCAAUAAUGCUUUUAUUCUUUGUUUUGAUUGGUUUGAAUGUUUUCUAUUAUUUUAUUUCAGUAGGUGCGAAGAUGUGAACAGCUGUUUUAAAGCGAACAAGAGACAUUAUGGUAGCCACUGUUGCUUCUCCUAUUGUCUGGUUUUGAAGGCUUGUGAUGCUUUUAUUCAUUUGUUUUCAUCGGUUCUAUACUAUUUUGUUUUGUUUGAAUUCAUGGUGAGAGAAGAUAUGGACCACUAUUUCGAAGAAAACAAGAGACAUUACGUCCACCAUCCACUCCAGAUGCUAUGACUGUGGUGCAGGAAACAGUGACAUUUCCCCACAAAGACAAUGGCAGUGCAUACGGAUUGCCUCGUGGGAAGUUAAUAUGGCAGACAUGUGCUAAUAGCAAUAAAAAUGUAAGAAGAGACAAUUGCAUGUCGAAAUGUUCUCCUCAUCUUCCACUACUCAGGCCAGCUGAGAAGCGCUUCAAAGGACCUCUCAACAAGCUUGACAUAUGUUCCUUGGAGCUAGAGAACAUUCUAGAACUGGUUUCUGACUCAUCUUUGGAGAAAUUCUGAAGAAGAGAGGCUAUACUUGGGGGCCUUUGCUGGCCAAAUGAAGAGACAGCUGCGAUGGAGGGAGGACAGGAACACUCAUCUCUAAGGUCCAGAUGUGAGUCCGGAGAAGGAGACCAGCCAGAAGGCAGUUUGGAAAUUGUCCAAGGGACCACUGGAAAUGAGCAGUGUGGGAUGAUGACCCCAGUAUUCCAGCACGGGAAAAAUGGAGAUGAAGUUCAGUGGGGCAGAGGGAGAACCAAGCGCCACAGGCUGAGAAAAUCCUAUAAACCUCCAACCAAGGAGGUAUCACAGAUGCCGGAAGCUGCAACCGAAGUCCCCAUGCAAGGAGAAAGCCAGAGAAAGGGACGAGGCAGCAUUGGGUCCUCAACUCAGACAGCUCACAUGGGCACCUCCAGGUGUGAAGGCGGUUCCCACCCACCACUCUCUUCUCACCAUCAGCCAGGCCUGGGCAGUGGGAAAAGGGAGGGAAAGUGUAAGGCCUGAGGGGAGAAGCAGGUCUCUGCAGGCCUCCCAAGCCCAGCAGAAAAGAGCAAAUGUUUGCUCAAGCACAGUUCAGAGCCCGAGAAAAGACUACAUGGACUCUUUAAUAUCUGAAAAGACCAGACUACUCCAUGAAUUUGAUAAGAGUUUAAUACCAAGUAGAGGAGAUGAUGUGUUUUCUUUUUGAAUUCUACAAAAUCCUGUCAUUGAAAACCAAAACAAAAAGUGACCUACCCAGAAAACCUCCUGGACUCAAGGAGGUCACUAAAAGAGUUGUAAGUAAGAGUUACAUAUGUGACACAUAUUAUACACACAGGGCCCCGCACUUAGAAGGUUCCAUGCUUGGCUUAAUACUCUGCUGCUACCAUCUUGAAAUUCUUAAUAAUUGCAAAUAAGAGGUUCCACUUUUAUUUUAAACCGAGCCCUGCAAAUUAUGUGGCUGGUCCUGGAUACAUGCAGAACAAGAACUUAGCUGUGUUCUGUUUGACUCCAAGAGAUUGAAUGGGAAAAAUCAGUAGGAGGUAGGAAAAAACAACAAACAGAUUUUAGAUCAACGUGAGGGAGAAAGUUUUAGAACUCAUGGCGGCCCAAAUUAGAGGAGACUGUAAGAAGAGGUGGAGUUUCUGAUCACCAGAACCUUACAGCGGAGGAAGUUCAACUUCUUAGUAGGAAACGUAGAGAUAGGAUUUCAGCUUUGCACUUUGGAGCCUCAAAAAUCCCUUGAGAACCUGGUAUUAUCUAAUUUUUUGAUUCAUGAAUUUCUUUCAAGACCUCUACUUCAUGAACUUAACCAGGAACUGAACUCUUAGCUACUAUGACAGGCCUGAGCAUUUUGAAGUCCAGACUAACACCCCUACUUAGUCAGAGCCUUGCUGACUUUCUGAGUUUCUGUCCUAAUAAUGAGCUGUUGUUCUUCCUGAAGAGACCAUUAUCACCAUUGCUCACUGUAUUUUUUUUUUGAUCAUUGUAAGUUGGAUCUUACUAUCAAUAGCACACUGUGGCUUCUUAUUUCUAAGAAAAAGAUUUUACAAAGUCCCCCCAAAUUGUACUGGGCUUAAAGCUACUUUCAUUAAUAUCAUUUUGACAAUGAAGCAUAAACAGAUCUGACAAAUAUGGAUUAAACACUAAAAA
Long non-coding RNA from Cavia porcellus (domestic guinea pig), 9552 nucleotides. RefSeq lists it as uncharacterized. The record is from RefSeq and is a predicted model, not a curated record. Lineage: Eukaryota; Metazoa; Chordata; Mammalia; Rodentia; Caviidae. The transcript is spliced from 2 exons.